RNAcentral lists this long non-coding RNA (593 nucleotides) under Linum usitatissimum (flax). RNAcentral describes it as "long non-coding RNA (LUSI_LNC002013)". Lineage: Eukaryota; Viridiplantae; Streptophyta; Magnoliopsida; Malpighiales; Linaceae. The record is from RNAcentral.
ACAACUUCUCGGAAGUGAGCAGGGCCAGCGUCCACCAUUCGGAGAUCGCAGUUGUGCCUUUGAAGUCCAGACCCGGGCGUCCGCCUGCUGGACCCGACGCUAAAACCAACAGCGGCUUAGGUGGGCCGGCAGUGAGCAGAGUGGACUCGUUUGCGGUGGGGUCCUCGUCGGCUUCUUCCCAUGGGAAUGUGUUGAGUCGGAGGAGAUCGUUGAAGUCUCCAACAGGAGAACAACCUGUUGAGGUCUAACGAACCGAAUUUCGGUUUUUCGUUUUUCUUCUUUCAAAUGUUGAUCCAUUACAACUCAAUAUCCCGAGGACUGGCUAUACAAUUUGGUUCCGGGCCGGAAUUUAUACCUCGGAAAUUAUACAGAUUUUUUUGUGCAGUUAGUAGAGAACAUUUAUAUACACUGAAUUUGUACAAAGGUUUCAGUCUUCAUGAUCCCAGAGAUCUUCCACUGUCCUGAAAGGUUUGAACAACAGUGAACUCACAGUUUGUUGAACUUCCUACUCUGCACUCUGCAGCUGUCCUAUAACCACCGAAUGAAACGCAAUCAUCAACGAAAUCAUACCGAACAUAGAAUAUAUGAUUUUA